GGGCCCGCACAAGCGGUGGAGCAUGUGGUUUAAUUCGAUGAUACGCGAGGAACCUUACCAGGGCUUAAAUGCAGAACGACAGGGGUGGAAACACCCUCUUCUUCGGACGGUCUGCAAGGUGCUGCAUGGUUGUCGUCAGCUCGUGCUGUGAAGUGUCGGGUUAAGUCCCAUAACGAGCGCAACCCCUAUUUCUAGUUGCCAGCGGUUCGGCCGGGGACUCUAGAAAAACUGCCAGCGUAAGCUGUGAGGAAGGUGGGGAUGACGUCAAAUCAUCACGGCCCUUACGUCCUGGGCUACACACGUGCUACAAUGGUAGGGACAGAGAGUUGCCAACCCGCGAGGGUGAGCUAAUCUUCAAACCCUAUCUCAGUUCGGAUCGGAGUCUGCAACUCGACUCCGUGAAGUUGGAAUC
Molecule: ribosomal RNA, 412 nt
Filed under: uncultured bacterium
Lineage: Bacteria
Description: bacterial SSU rRNA
Rfam family: Bacterial small subunit ribosomal RNA
Source: RNAcentral